Molecule: long non-coding RNA, 1414 nt
Filed under: Olea europaea subsp. europaea
Lineage: Eukaryota; Viridiplantae; Streptophyta; Magnoliopsida; Lamiales; Oleaceae
Source: RNAcentral
CAGGAUUUCAAAAUCAAUGACGUGGUUGAUAAAAAAAAUAAAAAAAGAAUCAACAGUGAAAUAAAACCGGGUAAAGACCUAACAAAGCCAAACCAAUUGUUUCUAAUUUCUCCACAAGUUCCCGGCAGAGAAGCACGCCAAUCACCUUUCUCUCCGGCCAACUUCCGACUACCGAACCGGUGUCCAACCUCCACUACAGUGUAAUCACGAAAGCUCACCAAAACUCAACAUUGAACCAAUAUUUGAAGGUAGCCGUGACAACGCGAUAUGAUGGACAAAGGUAUUUUUCUUCUUGGUUCUAAAUUGGGUAGCUCAGAAAUUGGUUACUUGCCUGAACUAUAUUCUUUAGUGGCUAUGAUAGUCUAUAUGGUGUCAUAGAAAAGAGUAGUUUUGGAGAAAUUUUGGAGUGUUGGAAAAUGUACAGAGACCAAAUUUAUUGUUUUCCUAAAAUUUUCGGCCUCAAAACAUGUUUUUGUUUUAUGUUUCUGAAAGUGAACAUCUUGCAUUGGGCAAAAAUUUUCUGAAUUUUGAACCUUCACUUUGAUAUCCCAGUGAGAAAAAUUCGUCUUCAGUUGUGCUUUGUAAAUUUUGAACCAUAACCAUUUGUACUUUCAUACAGUCAUUGAAUAACGGCACCGGACAUAUGUCAAGUGUCUCCUAAGUUGCUGAGUUUUGUUCGUAGCAUAGUCUUGCUGGUACUUAAAUAUAAUUGGCAAAUUGUAAUGAAAUAAGAAAUGUUGUUGCAGGGAAAGAUAUUGUGGAAGAUAGAAUGAUGACCUGUUGCUGGAAUGAAAUGAGAAAUGUUUUACAGUUCUUGAUGUUGGUUGUGGUGUUGCCAGUUUUGGUGCUUACCUUCUAAAAUUCGAUAUCUUUGCUAUGUCUUUAGCACCAAAUGAUUUGCACCAAAAUCAGAUCCAAUUUGCGCUAGAAAGAGGAAUUCCUAUAUAUCUUGAUGUUCUUGAACAAAGAGACUCCCUUACCCAAGCAGAUCUUUUAAACUUGCACACUGUUCUCGUUGUAGAAUUGAUUGGCUGUGGAGGGAUGGGCUCCUUCUUUUUGAAUUGGAUAGGCUUCUUAGACUUGGAGGCUAUUUUGUCUACUCGUCCCCUGAAGCUUAUGCACGGGAUGAAGAAGACCUAAGAAUAAGGAGGGAGAUGAGUGCGCUUGUAGAACGUAUGUGUUGGAGGAUUGCUGUAAAAAGGAAUCAAAUUGUGCCUUUAACGAAUGACCGUUAUUUGGAAGGACAAUUCCAAUUGUACAUAAUUUUUGGUACUCACCGAGCAAGGUGGCACCAACUUGUGAUUUUCGUUGAUGUUAUUAUUCAACAUGUAACAGGAGGUUGCUCGGUGUUAACUUUAUUUUGGAAUUUUCAGUUUUAAAAUUUGUGUUGGAAUAUUAGAUUCUUGAUCCAUUA